Molecule: RNA transcript, 2975 nt
Organism: Onychostoma macrolepis
Lineage: Eukaryota; Metazoa; Chordata; Actinopteri; Cypriniformes; Cyprinidae
Gene: znf541
Gene name: zinc finger protein 541
Exons: 16
Source: RefSeq, a predicted model, not a curated record
AUUCAAGAACCGCUAAAUCAUCACUCGCCGCGCUCCCAACUGGCUGUUCUGCGCUAGUAUUAGCAUCUAAGUAAUUAGCAAACUUUUGAGUGGACACGCAACUAGCUUGGGACUCGAUUGAGCCGUUAAUGGAGAUGGAAGACCCUUCAGAUCCGAGUCUGUUUCUGCUCUCAUCGUCCAAAAAUGUGUCCAGAGGUGCGACCAACAUCAUACCACCACCAUCAAACCUGCAAGACCCAGUCAUAGAGGCAGGACUGUGGCCAGACACCAUGUCUGAUUCAAAAAGCAGAAAGACUUCCACACCCUCUCCAUCAACCCCUGUCUGUCCUAAAGCAGAGGAUGUUGAGUGUCUGACACCUGUGGGCUCAGGGAAGAGAACCAGAGUCUCUGUGAAUAAGUGCCGUGUUUGUAGGAAAGAAUUUAAAACAACCAGUGCACUUAAAAAACACCUCUUGAUCCACAGACAGGAUGGGCCUCAUUUCUGUGGCGUCUGUCAGAGAGCAUUUAAACACCAUCAUCAGCUCACUUCUCACAUGAUGACCCACCACAAGAGAAAGAGCUAUAACUGCACUCAGUCUGGCUGCCACAAAUCCUACGACGACAAAAACUCCCUAAAACAUCACUGUGCCUCUCGACACGGAGUCCGCCUCACAUCUCCUUGCUCCUCCAGCCUCUCUUCCAACUAUGACCUGCCGGCCUCAGCGUGGGAGCCAACGGUUAAUCUAGCUGCGUCCAACUACCUCUUUACCUCUCAACCAAAGCCUGUUUCAGCUCCUGUGCUAAAGAAUCCCAGUUAUUCUGGAAAACUCUUCGGUUCUUAUGACACAGGAGAUCGUGGGAUGGGGCGCCAUGCAGAAGAUGCCCAUCCCUCUCAGGUUAAAUAUUCAACAUGUCAAGAAAGCUGGACUUUAGCAUCUGCCAGUAAAUCUUGUAAAGUCGAAGAAAGCAAUAAGAUGCUAAACUCCACCCAGUGGACUCUGGGUAUCGAAGAAAAUCCAGUGGUUUCACGGAACCCAUUUGAUGUUCAUGGUUUAGAAACCUGUCUUGAUUUUCCUGAAUCUUACCCAGAAGAAUUGAAAGAGAUGCUGUCAUUUCAGCCUAACAGAGAGGCGCCUACCAGCAGCGUUGGCUGCCCUGUGAGGCCACGAGCUUCAGUGUGCUCUAAACUGCAUUGUCCCAUACUGCUGAAACACAGUCUGAAGGAGCCCAGACCUCCGAGCAAGUUAAAGCGACGGCGCACCUUUUCCUGUUUCAGUUAUCCCGCUGUAUUAUACCCUGAACCAAAGACUGAUUUCGACUGUAAUCUUGCCGAUCCUGUACUUGAUUCUCCUCCUGCAACAUUGCCCAACAGUAGGAAGAGGAAGUCCUGCUCUAAGGACGUCCUGUCUGAUGUUCCAACUCCUCCACUGCCUGUUCCUCAGCCCACUUGUCAUAAGCGUUCACGACCACGCUCUUCCUACCUUGUCUCACCAAGUCAAGUGGCACUUGCAUCCUUCAGCACUUACCUCGGCAAACAGCUUUUACAAAAGGAGCCCGUUUUGAAAUCAACAGGAGAGGAACCAAACGCUGGUUGCAGAACAUAUACAAGAACUUCAUCUGUUCGUAGAGCUCAGUCGCAGCCCUCAUGUUCUCAGGAAGCUGUUGGAACAAAGGAGGAACAUGAUUCACAAGCAUCCACCCCAACACUGGAUGAUGGACAGAAGGGAGCUUCAGGACAAAAGUCCAAAGAGACAAACCUGUCUCCACUGAUGAUGCCUGUGUCUGUCCCAGUCUCCGUGACAAACGUUUUAGGCCCACAAGCUUCCACACAACAAGCCAAGAGGUCACAGACUCGUAAAGGUGCAUCUAAGAGGUCUUGUCAUCUUGACCCUUUAAACUGCCUCAUCAUCCCCAGUUCACCUCUGCCUCGUCUAUCUUCCCCACAAUGCACUGAUACUAAGGAAACCCAGGGUUUGCAGAGAAGCUGUGGCAUAGGCAUUUACCCCAGCCAGCUGCGCUCGCCAAACUAUCUGACAGACCACCCGCUGAGCCCUAGUUUUCACCCCCCACCAUACACCCCUCAGCCUAUGCUAAGCCCUCUCCGUUCUGGGACAGGCCUCUAUUCUAAAAGCCUACCGCAACUUCAGCCAUGCUUAUCUCUACCCAGCAUCUUUGAUGGUGUCUCCUUCCCAAUCGACAACACAGCCAUCAACAUACAGCCAAGGAUAAACGUAGGUUCACGGUUUCAAGCAGAGAUCCCCCCAGUGCGGGACACGCUGUACAUGCUGUAUGAAGAACACCCUGCUCAACUCGUCUGGACUCCUUGGAAAGAUCUCUCUACCAACACAGAAACACAACAGAGAGUCAAAGAGCUGUUAGACAUGUGCUGUUCCAGUGUGCUACCAGGAGGCGGCACCAACAUUGAAUUUGCUCUCCACUGCUUUCAUGAAGUUCAAGGAAACAUAAUGUUGUUUAACUGUCAGGCAGCACUGGAUUUACUCUUAAUGAGAGGAGAUUUUCGGACCUCCUGGCACCCUCUGAACGAUUACCACUACACAGGGUCAGACCACUGGACAGCGCAAGAGAUGAAAGUGUUCAAGAAAGCUCUGGUUGAACAUGACAAGGACUUUCAACAGAUUCAUAAUGUGUUGCAGACAAAAUCAAUAUCCCAGUGUGUGGAAUAUUACUAUAACAUGAAAAAGCUGAAAAAGUUCAAGCAAUGUGUCCGAGCCACAAAUAAAAAGGAUGACGGUGGAGAGAUCUCUAGGCAUUCAAAUACUCACAAGAGCACAAUCCUGAACAGAUAAAUGGGAACACAGGACAGAAGACAACAGCUGCUCAGAGUGAGGUGUGUGCCAGGCCAUGUUAUGGGAAUUUUGUUCGAGCCAGAUGUGACAUGAAACAAUCAACAAAACACUUUCAUUCCAUGAAAAAAUAUUAGCAAAUUUCAAAAUUAAUUUUACCUUUAAAUCCAGAGGUGUAAAGAGCCACAGUUC